RNAcentral lists this ribosomal RNA (253 nucleotides) under uncultured bacterium. RNAcentral describes it as "partial 16S ribosomal RNA". It matches the Rfam family "Bacterial small subunit ribosomal RNA", at positions 524 to 776 of the family's 1533-position model. The record is from RNAcentral.
GACGGAAGGUGCAAGCGUUGCUCGGAAUCACUGGGCGUAAAGGGUGCGUAGGCGGCCGCGCAAGUCUGGCGUGAAAGCCCCGGGCUCAGCCCGGGAAGGGCGCUCGAAACGGCGCGGCUCGAGUGCCGGAGGGGAGAGUGGAAUUCCUGGUGUAGCGGUGAAAUGCGUAGAGAUCAGGAAGAACACCGGUGGCGAAGGCGCUCUGCUAGGCCGCAACUGACACUGAGGGACGAAAGCUAGGGGAGCGAAUGGG